CUCACCACUCACUCACUGACUCACCCAGAGCUGCUUCCGGUCCUGCAAGCUCAUGGAUGGUCAAGUGUUUACAGACAAGAGUAGAGAAAAAGGGAAACUCAUCAAACAAAUAAUGACAUAAGUAGAGAGGUCUGGCACAUUGAUGUUAUCACCAGAUACGGCUUCAUAGGAAGGAGCAGAGCACAGUGAAGUUCAUGGCUAUGGCGGCCGCUGUAGAGUCCAGCUGCACCCUCAGGAAAGCUGCAAAUGUCAGAACACCGAGUACACCAGGAUCCUGCUCCCAUGAUCCUCAUGGCUUAACUCUCUAUGGCAAGCAAGAAAAAAAAUCUCAAUCCUGUCAAUUGUAUUUAUU
This is a long non-coding RNA of Callithrix jacchus (white-tufted-ear marmoset), 352 nucleotides long. Lineage: Eukaryota; Metazoa; Chordata; Mammalia; Primates; Cebidae. The record is from Ensembl.